RNAcentral lists this ribosomal RNA (427 nucleotides) under uncultured bacterium. Its description in RNAcentral is "bacterial SSU rRNA". It matches the Rfam family "Bacterial small subunit ribosomal RNA", at positions 359 to 776 of the family's 1533-position model. The record is from RNAcentral.
GAAUAUUGCGCAAUGGACGAAAGUCUGACGCUGCGACGCCGCGUGUGGGAGGAAGCCUUUCGGGGUGUAAACCACUGUCCGAGGGGAAGAACGCCGGCUAGUCGAACAGGCUAGUCGGGUGACGGUACCCUCAAAGGAAGCGCCGGCUAACUCCGUGCCCGCAGCCGCGGUAAGACGGAGGGCGCAAGCGUUGUUCGGAAUUACUGGGCGUAAAGCGCGGGCAGGCGGUCUGUUAAGUCAUUUGUGAAAACCCGGGGCUCAACCCCGCGGAAUGCAGAUGAUACUGGCAGACUAGAGACCAGUAGAGGCUAGCGGAAUUCCUGGUGUAGCGGUGGAAUGCGUAGAUAUCAGGAAGAACACCUGUGGCGAAGGCGGCUAGCUGGGCUGGAUCUGACGCUCAUCCGCGAAAGCGUGGGGAGCAAACAGG